This is a long non-coding RNA of Cynoglossus semilaevis (tongue sole), 1832 nucleotides long. RefSeq lists it as uncharacterized. The transcript has 2 exons. NCBI's taxonomy places the organism in Eukaryota, Metazoa, Chordata, Actinopteri, Pleuronectiformes, Cynoglossidae. The record is from RefSeq and is a predicted model, not a curated record.
CUUUCUUGCCACUUCUCUUCUUAGUGGUGCUCUGCUGGAGUGUGUAAUGCGCUAACAGAAUAAUGUAGAACAUCAACCAAAGUCCUCUAACCGCCAUCAUAUGUUUGAAACGUCCACCAGCGAAAAUUCUAGAAGGUGUCAAUGCAGCGGCAGCAGCAGCAGAGGUCCUUCCAGCUCCGUGGUCUGGACAGACUGCUGUGUUUCACAAGAGCUGGAGAAACUUCUCCCAGUAAAAACAAAUGUUUUACAGAUGUUUCAUAGCCACUUGUGUUGCUUUUGAACUUUCGAGAGAAGAUGGGCGGACAGAAAGGGAGCAGGACUGUGCAGAGGUACCGAUAUCAGGAACACCAUGAAUGUGGUUCCAUAUGUUCUCAUGGUAUCAGUAAAUUACAUCAGGGCCGUACCUGCCUGCGUGCUACAUAACAUUACUUACAUAAUCCAGAUAAAACAGAUGAAACUCUAUCUUAAUGAAGAUAUAAUGACUGGUUUUUAAUACCUUUUAUUGAGUGAAGCCUAGAUGAUAUCAGUUGUUUUUCUGUCUGAGAGCCUGUUGUUUUCCUUGUGUCCAGGGGGUGGGUGUUUUAGGGUUUCUCCCAAAGUCCACAUCUGGAUCCUCUCACGGAGCUGUGGGUGGUGCAGAUGAUGAAGGGUAACUGAAGAAGAUUUAUAUUAAGUAGAAAGAUUGUUGUGAAUUUAAUUUGGUUUUAGUUUUCAUCCCAAAAUGGAAACCCCAGUGUUUAGUUUCAGUGAACAUGGCCAAAAAUGUAUGUGAUUAUAGUAGAAUGUGCCUUUAAAUCCUCGGUCCUAAAAAAAACUAUUGUGCUACAUCAUUAUUUUUAGAUAAUGUAAUGAAUACCACGAGGGAAAACCUGGAAUAGUUUGAAAACUCUUGAUUAGCAUGACGCUUGUAUAUAUAAAUAUAUAUAGCAAGAUAGUUACAAAUAUAUCCAAAUAUAACUAAUGACUAUACAUACGUAUAUACAUGUGUAAAUAUAAACAUAUGUGUAUGUAUAUAUUUUAUGUUUACUAUUAAGUUGUACUUGUCACUGAUUUCUCCUUGAAUUAAAAAAAUACAAAGACAGAGGGUUCAUCAAUACAUUUCAAAUAAACUAUUUACAAAAUACAAUAAUCAAUACAGUUAUUUGUGUAAAAACAAGUCAGUGGCAUUCACUGAAAAUCAUGUUAAUAUAUAAAAAAAGUUUAGGCAACAGCAAAGGCAGCUUUUUAGUAACAAUGCCCCGGACAUGGUGGACGCAGAGACAGAGCAGCGCCCCCCACAGGACAGACAAUGCGUGGGUCACAGUUAAAAGAUCAUCUAAAUGCAUAGUUAGUUUUAUAGCUUCAGUACAGAUAACGUCACUGAGGAGAGCAGCAGGUUCACAGACUGCGGCUGUUUGUUGAAGACCGUAUGUAUUAAUACUAGUUUAUGUGUUCGUCAACACAGUGAUACGGAGGUUAGUGCAGUUAGCAUUGGGAUCAGUCUCAUGUAAUACUGCGACAUCUGUGCUCCGUGACUUUGUGCAUUUGCUCACUGCUUAGUGGAUAAGAAGCACUUUAGAUACGAACAAAGCCCUUUAGCAUCACAGCUCUGCUGCGAUCAUGUCUCCAGCAGGUCACCUCAUCUAAUCUAAGUCAUGUUAGAAAUUCAUCACAACAUUUAAAUACAUCAAUAACAAUAAAAAUAAUAAUAAUAUUACAAAUCAAAUUUACAGGGACAGACAAAAAGAAAAAUCAGGUAAAGAAUGACCGAAGAUCAAAUCUGAGUUGAAAACAUGCAGGACAACAUUAAGUGUGCUUCAAGUUUUAAGUAAAAAAAAAAGAAAAAAAAAGAA